UACGUAGGGUGCAGGCGUUAAUCGGAAUUACUGGGCGUAAAGCGUGCGCAGGCGGUUUGUUAAGACAGGUGUGAAAUCCCCGGGCUUAACCUGGGAACUGCGCUUGUUACUGGCAGACUUGAGUGUGGCAGAGGGGGGUGGAAUUCCAGGUGUAGCAGUGAAAUGCGUAGAGAUCUGGAGGAACACCGAUGGCGAAGGCAGCCCCCUGGGUUAACACUGACGCUCAUGCACGAAAGCGUGGGGAGCAAACGGG
Molecule: ribosomal RNA, 253 nt
Filed under: uncultured bacterium
Lineage: Bacteria
Description: partial 16S ribosomal RNA
Rfam family: Bacterial small subunit ribosomal RNA
Source: RNAcentral